AGGUAACUGAAAAGCUAGCUAACAGUGGUAUCGCUAUCAGAAAAUGGUGCUAUAUGGCAGCUAUUUUCCGAUCAAUCUUGUUCUUUUCGGUCAACAGUUAUUGGUUCCUGAGAAAAAAGAUCUGUACUCCAAAUCCUUCUGCACUGCUAGACUGAUUGUUGAUUUUGCCGUGUCCAUUUCUUUUGCAAGUAGCCAUGCUCCGCCCUGGAUUCUGGUUGAUCUCCUCCAAUUCAGAGAUAAAUUCAUCACUCUUCUUGCAGUUAGAUCGCUUUCUGUGUUUGGCUCAGUCAGGAGUAAGUUUCUCUGGACCUAGACUCUGUAAAUCUCUUGGCUUCUUGUAGCCAAACCAUGCAAUGAUUUCCUUCGGUGUUUUUCCGCCAUGAAGCAAUUCAAUAAUGGCUGCCCUCUGAUCAUAUUCACAACUUGUUGAAGUAGAAGCU
This 440-nucleotide long non-coding RNA is filed under the name Androctonus crassicauda. The record is from RNAcentral. Lineage: Eukaryota; Metazoa; Arthropoda; Arachnida; Scorpiones; Buthidae.